CUUUAUUAUAUGAUUUAGACCAAUGUGAUGUUGAGUUAGAUUACUAAACGAGGCGAUUGAGAAUCAUUUAGAGGGCAUUUUCAACAUAAUCUCACAGAUCUCUUGCCGUGGGACUUGGAACUCUUAGGUGAAGACGAUUCCAUCCCACCUGCAAGAAGGCCGUUCUUCCUGACGAUGAUCUCAUCCCCAAGCUCCUCCCACAAGCCUUUAAGGAUUUUGUCAUCCCUGAAGCUAGACAGUUCAACUCGGUGGAGCACCAGUCGAGAAGCUGGACAAGGAAAGCUCGCGCAUGCGUACGCCAUCGUCCAGGGCAACGCGCUAGAGAAGAUCCCGAACGAGAUCAAGUUUGAGGCGGGUCCAGACAGAGAGGGUGUAUGGCCAAGAGCAUGAGCAAGUACUUCGCCAUGGACCGGGUCGAGAACAAGGCCAGCAAAGAGAAGGCCAUGGGAAUGUUGAAAGCCAUAGAAGCCCAUCUCUUGCAAAACGCUGAUGCUUACGAUUGAGUUGUUGUUACAUGUUGGCUGGAUCUUUCCAUCUCCCACCAUAAUUUAUGUCUUCAUUCGUGUCUCUUUCAAGAAAAAUAACAAUCGAGACUGAACCGUAACUAUGUUUUGAAGCGGUAGAUAUGCUGCAUGCUGUCAUCAAAGACGCUUGUCAAACAUCUUGUAAAGAUCUCGGCAUUCUUUU
This is a long non-coding RNA of Eucalyptus grandis, 687 nucleotides long. RefSeq lists it as uncharacterized. The transcript is spliced from 2 exons. The record is from RefSeq and is a predicted model, not a curated record. NCBI's taxonomy places the organism in Eukaryota, Viridiplantae, Streptophyta, Magnoliopsida, Myrtales, Myrtaceae.